UAUACUAGGAAUAAAGGAAAAGUAACUUGCAGAAAGUAAGAGAAAGCAUUCAUCAUUCUCCUAAUCCAAGCAGAAGAGGAAAUAGAAGCCUUCAGAUGACAGCCAGACAGCCUAUCAGUUUACAGAUGAGGGAACCAAGGUACUCAAAGAAUCUCUCACAAAGGAGGAUUGGAUACUGAUAAUGCUGUUGGAAAUUAUUGUUCAGGUAAGAGUUUAACUAGAUGGUAUUAGGCAUUCCUUAAAACUCUGAAAUUUUAUGAUCUGGCUCUUUAAAAUACACUUGGGGAAUUUUUUUGUAGUCAUUUUGGUUUUUUGCUGGUGCCGUGGAUAAAGUCCUGGUCUAAGGACUAGAAGUCCUGAGUCCAAAUUCUGUCUGAGAUAAUUACUAGCUCUGUCACCCUAAGCAAGUCUAAUA
This 415-nucleotide long non-coding RNA is filed under the name Monodelphis domestica (gray short-tailed opossum). RNAcentral describes it as "lncRNA (ENSMODG00000043374.1)". The record is from RNAcentral. Lineage: Eukaryota; Metazoa; Chordata; Mammalia; Didelphimorphia; Didelphidae.